Molecule: ribosomal RNA, 497 nt
Filed under: uncultured bacterium
Lineage: Bacteria
Description: partial 16S ribosomal RNA
Rfam family: Bacterial small subunit ribosomal RNA
Source: RNAcentral
GAUGAACGCUGGCGGCGUGCCUAAUACAUGCAAGUCGAGCGAACGGACGAGAAGCUUGCUUUUCUGAUGUUAGCGGCGGACGGGUGAGUAACACGUGGAUAACCUACCUAUAAGACUGGGAUAACUUCGGGAAACCGGAGCUAAUACCGGAUAAUAUUUUGAACCGCAUGGUUCAAAAGUGAAAGACGGUCUUGCUGCCACUUAUAGAUGGAUCCGCGCUGCAUUAGCUAGUUGGUAAGGUAACGGCUUACCAAGGCAACGAUGCAUAGCCGACCUGAGAGGGUGAUCGGCCACACUGGAACUGAGACACGGUCCAGACUCCUACGGGAGGCAGCAGUAGGGAAUCUUCCGCAAUGGGCGAAAGCCUGACGGAGCAACGCCGCGUGAGUGAUGAAGGUCUUCGGAUCGUAAAACUCUGUUAUUAGGGAAGAACAUAUGUGUAAGUAACUGUGCACAUCUUGACGGUACCUAAUCAGAAAGCCACGGCUAACUACGUG